This 371-nucleotide ribosomal RNA is filed under the name uncultured Glomeromycotina. RNAcentral describes it as "eukaryotic LSU rRNA". Lineage: Eukaryota; Fungi; Glomeromycota. The record is from RNAcentral.
UUGAAAGGGAAACGAUUGAAGUCAGUCGUACCGACGAGAAAUCAGCUUAUCGUGUGUUAACUUGUGGGCGUGCGUGAGUUUCGGCCUCGCUGUUUGCAUGUUUGUGCGCUUUGGGUGUACUUUUUCGUAUGGUAGGCCAACAUCAGUUUCGAUUAUUAUAAAAUGACUGGCGGAAUGUAGCUUCGAUUUCGGUUGAAGUGUUAUAGCCUCUGGUAGAUGUGGUAAUUGGGACUGAGGAUUGCAACGAAUAUCCUUUGGGCUAUCCGUCUGGCCUCUGAAAGUUGCUUGGGUGCUGAAAGCUUGCUUAUGGUUAUCUAAGUUAACGGUCAAUAGGUUAGAACGUGAUUACGUUCGUUAAGGAUGUUGACGUA